UACGGAGGGGGCUAGCGUUGUUCGGAAUUACUGGGCGUAAAGCGCACGUAGGCGGCUUUGCAAGUUAGAGGUGCAAGCCCGGGGCUCAACUCCGGAAUUGCCUUUAAAACUGCAUCGCUAGAAUUGUGGAGAGGUAAGUGGAAUUCCGAGUGUAGAGGUGAAAUUCGUAGAUAUUCGGAAGAACACCAGUGGCGAAGGCGACUUACUGGACACAUAUUGACGCUGAGUGAGCGAAAGCCAGGGGAGCAAACGGG
This 254-nucleotide ribosomal RNA is filed under the name uncultured bacterium. RNAcentral describes it as "partial 16S ribosomal RNA". It matches the Rfam family "Bacterial small subunit ribosomal RNA", at positions 524 to 776 of the family's 1533-position model. The record is from RNAcentral.